Molecule: long non-coding RNA, 1487 nt
Filed under: Salmo salar (Atlantic salmon)
Lineage: Eukaryota; Metazoa; Chordata; Actinopteri; Salmoniformes; Salmonidae
Description: lncRNA (ENSSSAG00000114457.1)
Source: RNAcentral
GAUUAAUCGCGCCCGUGUAGGCGUGUUUUGCGUAAACUAAAAAAUUCGUGCAUUCGAUUUGGAUCCGGUCUCGAUGCCACUAGAUCUGACGGCCUACAGAAUUUGACUGACAGUCGCGCCGGCUGCGUCACAAAUAAACGUUGUGGAUGCUGCUUCUCUCCCGCAACACAGGUGCCAAGAUGGCGGCUUGAACAGACACUUUUUUUUUUACCGAGCUCUGCACAGUUAUUACUAUUACUGUUUUUAUUUGUUCAAGGUAUACGAACUUUCAUGUGACUGGAAUAAGAAUUGGAUAAUUUAUUUCAGCACGUCCAUGCGAAGUCGUGACAAAAAAAGAAAGGAAGAAGCUAGCCGUUCUAUUGCUAAUCAACAAGAGAGAAACAUGCUUAUAGACAACUGCCAUAUCUAGGCUUACCCUAUGAUUAAUAUCAUGCUGUUGAAGAUGACGAAUUCCCCUCUUUACCAGUUACUCUGUGCAAACCUCCACCCUCCAAAAAACCCAACAUGAACUCUGACAUUGUGGCUAACCUCUCCUUACUCAUCAACUCCAGGUCUGACGCCAUUGAGAAAAUGGUAGGCGCAAACACCAUGGUUAUCGAAAGUUUGAAAAAGACUGGAGUUUGCAUGUGGUGAUAUCAAGGAUGUGAAAAUGAGAGUGGCAAAAGUUGAAAAAAGUGUGGAAAAGAAAAACAAUGUCUACCAUAGACGUCUCACUGAUCUGAAACAAUACACAAGAAGAUGGAACCUGAGACUCUACGGCGUGCCAGAGGUGGAGAAUGAAGAUGUGCGUGGAGAGGCUAUCCGCAUCUGCCAAGAAGUUAUGCCUGCAGAGAAGAACAAAGUUGGUGAUACCAUUGACGUUGUGCAUCGCCUCGGCAAGAAGCAACAGCAAAAUGAUUCAAGACCAAGGGUAUCAUCAUCCUCUUUACUGCCAGAUUCUACAGGGAUGCUGUCUGGAAAGCUGCUAGGAAGAACGCCUUCCUUCAGAGCCAUGGUAUGUGUUUCGUCGAGCAUCUCAGCCCGGAGGACAUAGAAAGAAGGAACAAGUUGUGGCCAACGAUCAAGAAAGCACGAAAUGAGUGAAAGGCUGCUUACUUUGUCGGAGGACGAGGCUUCAUCAACGGUUCAGAAAUCCAUAUUCCUCCCUAAAAUCUCACCAGAAAGAACAGAUUGAUGGUUUCGGCCAUGGUAUUCUCAUUUUCCUUGUAUUGUUUAACUUUACCUAACAAGCAUCAGGUGACUAUUUUUUGGAAUACUCAGUUUCUCUUAAUGCUAGGGGAUUACGAAACAAUGUGAAGCGCAAGGCCUUAUUUUUAUUUGCUGAACAAUUUCGAACAGAUUUUUGCUUUUUUCAAGAGUCUCACUCAAUUUCGGCUGAUGCCAACUUCUGGAGGUCACAGUGGGGCAACGAUAUUUGGCUUUCCCAUGGAUCUGAACGCUCCGCUGGUGUCACUACAAUGAAAAUACCUUUGGUGGUAAUAUUCUAC